GAUGAAGAACGUAGCGAAAUGCGAUACGUAAUGUGAAUUGCAGAAUUCAGUGAAUCAUCGAGUCUUUGAACGCACAUUGCGCCCCCUGGUAUUCCGGGGGGCAUGCCUGUCCGAGCGUCAUUGCUGCCCUCAAGCACGGCUUGUGUGUUGGGCCUCCGUCCUCCUCCCGGGGGACGGGCCCGAAAGGCAGCGGCGGCACCGCGUCCGGUCCUCGAGCGUAUGGGGCUUCGUCACCCGCUCUUGUAGGCCCGGCCUGCGCUUGCCGACACAUCAAUCUUUUUUCCAGGUUGACCUCGGAUCAGGUAGGGAUACCCGCUGAACUUAAGCAUAUCAAUAAGCGGAGGA
RNAcentral lists this unclassified non-coding RNA (345 nucleotides) under soil metagenome. Its description in RNAcentral is "partial contains 5.8S ribosomal RNA, internal transcribed spacer 2, and large subunit ribosomal RNA". The stretch from base 1 to 120 matches the Rfam family "5.8S ribosomal RNA", at positions 35 to 154 of the family's 154-position model. The record is from RNAcentral.